Vigna umbellata (rice bean) is the source of this 681-nucleotide non-coding RNA. Lineage: Eukaryota; Viridiplantae; Streptophyta; Magnoliopsida; Fabales; Fabaceae. The record is from RefSeq and is a predicted model, not a curated record.
UGAGAUUUGACUUCUCUGCAACAUGGAGAUCUAUAAUGAAAGUCAUGGAUACUUAUAUUAAGGGGCUAUUUUUUAUUUUUAAAAGUUUCUGAGUUUCUGAUGACUAACCGAUCUCCUUGUAAUAUUUUUUGUAUAUAAUUUUCCAUGCCAAUGGUUUAAUUUAAUCUUGUUUUUAUUUUAGUUUCACUCUCAAGCUGUAUUCUGCCUAAGCUAUGCAUUACAGAGUCAAUCAUUUUAUUAACCUUCUUGUUUAUGUUUUUGUUCCAAAUGUAUGUUAGUAUCGUGGAAUAAUUGUUGUUAACUUUUACUGAUUGAAAGUUCACUUGUAGUGCCAAACAGGUCGGAUUUCGUUUAAGCUUUAUGAUUGGAAUCCAGCAGAAUUUCCUAGAAGGCUACGACACCAAAUAUUCCAAUGAUUGGCAAGUAUGCCUGUGAAGUUGGAGGGUUAUAUCUGCCCUGGGUGCACCAUUUUGACAAGUUUUAUUGCAAUGCCUAACAUUAUAUGGAUAAAUGUAUCUGAUCAAGGGAGUGUGCCAAACAAUAGAUGUAAUGAAGAAGAAGAAAAUUAGAUAUUGUUAUUGAAUAUCUUUAUGAUUCAUAUUUUUAGUAUUGAACAUUUGUAUUGAAUAUAUGUAUUGAACAUCUAUAUAGAAUAUAUGUAAUGAACAUCUUUCUUUUUAA